CAAACUGCAAAGCACGAGCCGGAUAGCAGAAUACUUUGUGAACAUUUAAAAGUUUGAAUCAUGUCUGUAGGUGAAAGUAUGAAGGAGCUGAACAUUU
Long non-coding RNA from Etheostoma spectabile (orangethroat darter), 97 nucleotides. RefSeq lists it as uncharacterized. The record is from RefSeq and is a predicted model, not a curated record. The transcript has 3 exons. NCBI's taxonomy places the organism in Eukaryota, Metazoa, Chordata, Actinopteri, Perciformes, Percidae.